This 897-nucleotide ribosomal RNA is filed under the name uncultured bacterium. RNAcentral describes it as "bacterial SSU rRNA". It matches the Rfam family "Bacterial small subunit ribosomal RNA", at positions 1 to 946 of the family's 1533-position model. The record is from RNAcentral.
GCUUAGAGUUUGAUCCUGGCUCAGAUUGAACGCUGGCGGCAUGGCUAAAACAUGCAAGUCGAACGAGCUCUUCGGAGCGAGUGGCGAAAGGGCGAGGAAUACGAUCGAAUGUACCCCGAGGUGCGGGAUAGGUCAUGGAAACGUGGCGUAAUACCGCAUGUGCUCUCCGGAGGAAAGGCUUGCCGCCUUGGGAGCAGCGAUCGUCCUAUCAGGUUGUUGGUGAGGUAACGGCUCACCAAGCCGAAGACGGGUAGCGGGUGUGAGAGCAUGACCCGCCGCAUCGGGACUGAGACACUGCCCGGACUCCUACGGGAGGCUGCAGUAACGAAUCUUCCGCAAUGGGCGAAAGCCUGACGGAGCAAUGCCGCGUGUGGGAUGAAGCAUCUCAGAUGUGUAAACCACUGUCAGGGUCUAGGAACAAUGACCAGACCCAGAGGAAGGGCCGGCUAAUUCCGUGCCAGCAGCCGCGGUAAUACGGAAGGCCCGAGCGUUAUUCGGAAUCACUGGGCUUAAAGCGUACGCAGGCGGAUUUGUAGGUAUCUCGUGAAAUCCCACGGCUCAACCGUGGAACUGCGGGGUAAACCACAAGUCUUGAGGCAUGUAGGGGUCAGUGGAACGAUGUGUGGAGCGGUGAAAUGUGUAGAUAUACAUCGGAACGCCAAUGGCGAAGGCAGCUGACUGGGCAUGUCCUGACGCUCAGGUACGAAAGCGUGGGUAACGAACGGGAUUAGAUACCCCGGUAGUCCACGCCGUAAACGAUGCGCACUAGGUCGUGGUACCUCUCAUGGUUUCACGGCUGAAGGUAAACUGGUUAGUGCGCCGCCUGGGGAGUACGGUCGCAAGGCUAAAACUCAAAGGAAUUGACGGGGGCUCACACAAGCGGUGGAGCAUGUUGCU